AUUGAACGCUGGCGGCAGGCUUCACACAUGCAAGUCGAACGAGUGGCGGACGGGUGAGUAAUGCUUGGGAAUCUGGCUUAUGGAGGGGGAUAACGACGGGAAACUGUCGCUAAUACCGCGUACCAUAGGCUUAGCCCAAAUGGGAUUGGCUAGUUGGUGGGGUAAUGGCCUCCCUAGCCGACGAUCCCUAGCUGGUCUGAGAGGAUGACCAGCCACACCGGAACUGAGAGACGGUCCAGACUCCGACGGGAGGCAGCAGUGGGGAAUAUUGCACAAUGGGGGCAAGCCUGAUGCAGCCAUGCCGCGUGUAUGAAGAAGGCCUGCGGGUUGUAAAGUACUUUCAGUGUGGAGGCGUUACCCACAGAAGAAGCACCGGCUAACUCCGUGCCAGCAGCCGCGGUAAUAC
RNAcentral lists this ribosomal RNA (406 nucleotides) under uncultured bacterium. RNAcentral describes it as "partial 16S ribosomal RNA". It matches the Rfam family "Bacterial small subunit ribosomal RNA", at positions 30 to 526 of the family's 1533-position model. The record is from RNAcentral.